RNAcentral lists this ribosomal RNA (1374 nucleotides) under Phocaeicola vulgatus. Its description in RNAcentral is "bacterial SSU rRNA". It matches the Rfam family "Bacterial small subunit ribosomal RNA". Lineage: Bacteria; Pseudomonadati; Bacteroidota; Bacteroidia; Bacteroidales; Bacteroidaceae. The record is from RNAcentral.
UCUGAAAGGAAGAUUAAUACAAGAUGGCAUCAUGAGUCCGCAUGUUCACAUGAUUAAAGGUAUUCCGGUAGACGAUGGGGAUGCGUUCCAUUAGAUAGUAGGCGGGGUAACGGCCCACCUAGUCUUCGAUGGAUAGGGGUUCUGAGAGGAAGGUCCCCCACAUUGGAACUGAGACACGGUCCAAACUCCUACGGGAGGCAGCAGUGAGGAAUAUUGGUCAAUGGGCGAGAGCCUGAACCAGCCAAGUAGCGUGAAGGAUGACUGCCCUAUGGGUUGUAAACUUCUUUUAUAAAGGAAUAAAGUCGGGUAUGUAUACCCGUUUGCAUGUACUUUAUGAAUAAGGAUCGGCUAACUCCGUGCCAGCAGCCGCGGUAAUACGGAGGAUCCGAGCGUUAUCCGGAUUUAUUGGGUUUAAAGGGAGCGUAGAUGGAUGUUUAAGUCAGUUGUGAAAGUUUGCGGCUCAACCGUAAAAUUGCAGUUGAUACUGGAUAUCUUGAGUGCAGUUGAGGCAGGCGGAAUUCGUGGUGUAGCGGUGAAAUGCUUAGAUAUCACGAAGAACUCCGAUUGCGAAGGCAGCCUGCUAAGCUGCAACUGACAUUGAGGCUCGAAAGUGUGGGUAUCAAACAGGAUUAGAUACCCUGGUAGUCCACACGGUAAACGAUGAAUACUCGCUGUUUGCGAUAUACUGCAAGCGGCCAAGCGAAAGCGUUAAGUAUUCCACCUGGGGAGUACGCCGGCAACGGUGAAACUCAAAGGAAUUGACGGGGGCCCGCACAAGCGGAGGAACAUGUGGUUUAAUUCGAUGAUACGCGAGGAACCUUACCCGGGCUUAAAUUGCAGAUGAAUUACGGUGAAAGCCGUAAGCCGCAAGGCAUCUGUGAAGGUGCUGCAUGGUUGUCGUCAGCUCGUGCCGUGAGGUGUCGGCUUAAGUGCCAUAACGAGCGCAACCCUUGUUGUCAGUUACUAACAGGUUCCGCUGAGGACUCUGACAAGACUGCCAUCGUAAGAUGUGAGGAAGGUGGGGAUGACGUCAAAUCAGCACGGCCCUUACGUCCGGGGCUACACACGUGUUACAAUGGGGGGUACAGAGGGCCGCUACCACGCGAGUGGAUGCCAAUCCCCAAAACCUCUCUCAGUUCGGACUGGAGUCUGCAACCCGACUCCACGAAGCUGGAUUCGCUAGUAAUCGCGCAUCAGCCACGGCGCGGUGAAUACGUUCCCGGGCCUUGUACACACCGCCCGUCAAGCCAUGGGAGCCGGGGGUACCUGAAGUGCGUAACCGCGAGGAGCGCCCUAGGGUAAAACUGGUGACUGGGGCUAAGUCGUAACAAGGUAGCCGUACCGGAAGGUGCGGCUGGAACACCUCCUUCUGAA